Molecule: transfer RNA, 71 nt
Filed under: Marmota monax (woodchuck)
Lineage: Eukaryota; Metazoa; Chordata; Mammalia; Rodentia; Sciuridae
Description: tRNA.Ala
Rfam family: tRNA
About the family: Transfer RNA (tRNA) molecules are approximately 80 nucleotides in length. Their secondary structure includes four short double-helical elements and three loops (D, anti-codon, and T loops).
Source: RNAcentral
GGGGUUGUGGCUCAGAGGUAGAGUGCUUGCCUAGCAUGCAUGAGGCACUGGGUUUGAUCCUCAGCACCACA